AUCUAUAUAGUUUAAUUAAAACAUUACAUUUUCACUGUAAAAAUAAUAUACGAAUAUUUAUAGAUA
RNAcentral lists this transfer RNA (66 nucleotides) under Sphingonotus yenchihensis. RNAcentral describes it as "tRNA-Glu". It matches the Rfam family "tRNA". Rfam says of the family: Transfer RNA (tRNA) molecules are approximately 80 nucleotides in length. Their secondary structure includes four short double-helical elements and three loops (D, anti-codon, and T loops). Lineage: Eukaryota; Metazoa; Arthropoda; Insecta; Orthoptera; Acrididae. The record is from RNAcentral.